RNAcentral lists this long non-coding RNA (3399 nucleotides) under Chlamydomonas reinhardtii. Its description in RNAcentral is "long non-coding RNA (CREI_LNC000466)". The record is from RNAcentral. Lineage: Eukaryota; Viridiplantae; Chlorophyta; Chlorophyceae; Chlamydomonadales; Chlamydomonadaceae.
UCCAGCCACGACCCGCCGUCAAGCAACAGCACAGCCAGCAACCAACCAAACAGCAGGAAGUAUUCUAGUCACAACACUCCUCACUGCUGCGGCCUACCACAUCCUGCGCUGUCUAUGCUCGCCAGCAACGACCCUAACUAGACACCGGCCGGCCUCAACCUGCGCGCCGCCGCCGCUUCUAGGGCGGGGCCGCGCUGUCCUCUCCGCUACGCACAUGCACGCCGCAACUGCUGGGCCCAGGGCUGCUGCCGCCGUCAGGCCCUGUACCGCUGCUGCUGCCGCAGCUGCUGGUGGGGCCGGGCCCUGCACCAGCACGAUCCGUAAACUGCAUGGGGGCGCGUGGCGUCGCGGCCCUGCGGUGCGACGUGAUCGAGCAUGCAGCUGUGUAAGCGUUAGUCCAGAGCUCAUCAGGACCCGCUAGGGAGAAUGCGCCGUGCGUGCGUUUCUCACUGGCUUUGAAACAGGGGUGCGGCCCCCCUGGUCCCCUGCUGGCCAGCUGGCCUCCUCCCGCUUUCAGUGCCUGGUGCAUCUUCCCUUGUCUCCCCAUCUCCUCUUGGGCAACCCAUGUCCUGCGAUGUGUGUGUCUACGACCAGGUCCAGCACCAACGUCAAAAAUUGCCAGCUACAGGUCGUGCUCUACGGACAGGCACGCACCUUGGGGGCCCACGCACCCUUGCGGGCCCACGCACCGGCGCACCGCCCACCACACCAUAAUAACCGCUAAGCGUGCGAUGUCAUGCUGAGUGUACCGUACGGCAUGAAGGGAAGACUGUACCUGCAGGGAGUGCUGUGGAUUGAAGCAUACGAAUCUCCUGGUCUGGUCAGUAAAAGAGGUGCCCGUGGCUGGUGCCUACAGCAUCGAUUUCCUUGAGAAUGUGCAGAUGUGCUUAAUCUGCAUGACCUGCCCAGACCUCAACCUACAGUCGGUGUAAUGUGGAUGCCCAGGAUGCCCCGCCCGCAUGCACAUGGUCAGGCCGGAAAGGGAUGAGAGCCGAGCAGGUAGCCCGCUGCCUGACGGGCAAAUAGUAUCCGCCUUGCUUGUGAGAGAGCGAGUCUAAUUAAGGCGUGGAAGCAUGAGCGGCUGCAGUGUGAGCCAAGCACUUUCCCAUCGGACAACAAGCAACCAGGCGUACAGAUAAGCAAGUUCAAGCAUUGGAUUGGGCUGUGUAAGGAAGGAGCGGCACCGCUGACCAUGCAAGAGCACAGUAGAGCAUAUAUACCAGUUGCGCAUCACAAGACCUUCAUGAGGUUCCACCUAUGCUGCUGGCCGCUUACUGCCAACCGCGCCUAUGGACAACCUAGGGAGGAGAGGAUUUGCCCGUUAUUAUGUGUCGCAAAUGAAGUUGGAUAUGAGAAUCAUGUGCUUACGCGGUGUAAGGCCUACGACCAGUUGCGCACGGUUAGCGAGAUCGAAUUUUCAGCAGGCCGUUAUGCAGAAUACGACCCCAGCCAGGUUAGCCGCGUUACUAGCUGCAUAUAUAAGUGUUGCAGGCGUUAUAAGGGCCCCCCCGGCCCGGGCCUCGGUUUCUACAGGGACAGGAAUGCACGUCGUGCUCACCACGUUGUAACCACACACAACAACAACAUUACGGCGUGCCGUGCCUGUACAAACCGACCCUGGCUAUGUCCGGGAGAUAAGGUAGACGCUUGCGGCCUCAGAGUAGAUACGUGGCUCAGCCCACUUGUCUCAUGCUGACUCAUGCGCAGGAAUUGGUAACAGGCUCCGGCCAAGUUCGCUGCUAUGGAAUUAGUGAUUUCCACCAACCUAGCGUAGCAGUACGGUAUUGUCGACGUUGAGUCCGCAUGCGGCGCAGCGUGCAAGAUCCUCUACCUGUAUGCGCAUACCGUAUCGGACAAGCAGGCUCUGGCGGUGGCAAGAGUGUCUGCGAAUGCACCAGAGCUGCUGAAGCUGUGUUUGAAACUGAGCCCUCCACUUGAAACCAAAGCAGUGCCAAUCGACUCCUCUUGAGGAGCGCUAUCACGCUGUACCAUCGGCGGUUCUGUUUCUGUGAUAGACUUCGGUCACACGCGGGUUCGUUCCUAUCCAUGGAAAUCCCGUCGAGUCAGCCCACCCCGCGCUCAACUCUCUGCCGUGUGACGAAUGGAAUGUGUGCACCGGCAUCCUUGUCAGACGCGAGUUCAUGCGUUUAAGAGCCCAGGCGUGUCAGCAGUGCGCUUGUGUCGAAGGUAGGGACAUUUGCCGACAUACGUGUCCACGCCAUGACGCGCAGCUUAGCCCUCCCACGGUUUGCUUGUGCUUAUUACGGCGUACGUUCACAUAUGAGCCUCGUAGUGCUGCGUUCUGCCCCGAGUUCUGCUUGUGGGGCGCUUCCCGAAAUCCGCCAGGAUGGGCUCCCGAAACCUGGCGGACCCCAAGGGACGAGGACCAACCCCCCAAAUUUGACGGCCCAGAACUUCCUCACCAGACCACCUCUGACAAAACUAAAGUACGUGCAUAAUGCUCUCCUAAAGCUCUGUAAUUUUGAGCAUGGGGUAAGAAUCUGAGCUUUCUACCCCCCCCUGGAAACGCCCCAAAAUGUCUUCUGCGAUUCUCAAAAAGACCCCCCAAAACCUGAAGCGUUUUGACAGAUUUUUGGCCUCAAGAAUACAAAAUUUCUGGCACACGUCCGGCGCCACCCAGCCUUGAAGCGGCCGUCGCUCUACUCGUCGGCCGUCGCUCUACUCUCCUAAAAUCUACAGUUUAGAGCAUGGGAUAAGGCUCUGAGCUUUCUACCCCCCGGACAGGCAGCCGAAUGCCGAAGAGAACACCCACUAUAGCAGCUGGUGCGGCUGGUGCAGCACGGACUUACAAGACGCAGAGUUGGAAUGCAAAGUUUGAGGACUGGGUGAACAGGAACCGACGCGAGGUCCACCUUGCCGGCACGCACCUUGUGUCCUGGCUUGGUGCCCAGGUCCGCCAAGUUACGUUGAUGUGACCCCAGUCUGCUUCCUGCCACAGUCGGCAUAGCAUAAUGGCAGCAGCCUCGCUCUUAGAUGAUACGUGUGAAGAGGACUACUAAAUCGUGCGAUACGGACUCCCUUAGUCUGUUGAAAGUAGCCCAUGGGAAGAGCGAGAAGACGAAGGGUUGCGAGCGACCGUUGCGCGCAGCGAGCGUCGCCCCUGGCGAGCGUUGCCAGGACCAUUCUCCCCCAACCGCCCCCCCCCUCCCUCUCGCCCCCCGCAGACCGGUGGACACCAGAUGUCCGAGGCCGCACACUGAUGAAGGCUGGAUGCUGGUGGAGGGACAUGGCUGGGAGGUGCAGCGCGCUGACACGGCGGUGCGGUAGCUAGGGUUCAUGGCGUCCUUGAUGUGACAAUUCAUGGCUCACCGUCACAAUGGGAUCAAAUGCUUAAAACAUUCAACAGCACUUCAUGGACGCAUGACAUGGCUCUAUCGG